AUUGGGUGAUCCACCCGACUUGAUUUUAGGCGCUUCUUUGAACAGACUUCCGAUCAGGGAUUAAAUAGUAAUAAUUUCAAAUCGAUCUAGGUAAACAGACCCUAUACUCACUCACAUGAGGCAUGAGAAAGACUGCAAGGCUCGAUUUCAUACAUGUUCAUUCUUGUCUCGUACUGUUUAUCUUUGUCCGAUUUUCGUCCAACCGAGCGAUCAGUUCCCGCAACAGUACGAUUGCGAACGUUUAAUGGUCAUGGUGCAGGUGAAAUUUAUGUUUACUAGAAUUACUCAAAAUGGCGAUCGCAGAAUGAGUGAAUCGUAGUAAAUCGCAACAAUGGAUCCAAGCGAUCUGCCAAUCGAAGAGGGGUAAACAAUCCACAUCUCGGAAACGUCUGGACCCGUAACAUCCCGGAGACAUCGGUGUAACUUCAAUUCACCGGUCUGGAGACAAUCUAGCGCACAACGACGACAAGCAUCCAAAAUAAAAAUGGCCCUCCCGAAGAAUAUUAUCGAGCUGAUGAGAAAGUCCGGCUGCCGAUCGGUGACACAUCUGCUAUCGACCAUUUUCGCACUGCUCCUGCUACCGGUUCUCGCCCUGGGCGAGAGUUCCCAGUUCGACCUACUGGGUGGCGGUGUACAAUUUUACGGCAAGCAUGGUUUCAAGAAGUUGAUCCAAUAAAAUUAUCGCGAUGAAAUUAAUUAAUGUUCAGUUCUCUUAUUGCGCGCUUAGACGCACAUUGUUUACGAAAUCUCUUGAAUGUGGUAGUAUUUCUAAAAUAAUAGUCUUAUCGGGUGUCUCGGUUGAUGUGGCGGACAAUAGAAAGCGAUUUUAGAUUUCGAGAAACGUAACGUAACGGCUGCCGGCGGGAGUGAAACGAACGGCCCAACAACAUCAUUAAUCGGAUACAAAGCGGAAUGUAGUAAUCGAAGAUGGUGGCGUGUUACUGGAGAUUGGAAGCAGAUUUCGAGUUGUCUCCACAAGGAGGUAUGGAUCGGUUCGAGGAGAGAAUGGAUCUUGGGUGAAGAAUUUCGUGAAAUUUUGACUAACUGUUGGAGGAAAUUAAGAAAAGUGCCUAUGACUUAAGAUUACACUUUGAAAAUAUAGCGAUUUACGAUAA
Topomyia yanbarensis is the source of this 1115-nucleotide long non-coding RNA. RefSeq lists it as uncharacterized. The record is from RefSeq and is a predicted model, not a curated record. Lineage: Eukaryota; Metazoa; Arthropoda; Insecta; Diptera; Culicidae. The transcript is spliced from 3 exons.